GUCAAUCUUAACACUUUUGAGACAAAUUAUGUCAGAGAAGCAAGCCAAUUUUGGGGGCUGGCUUGGGGCAGAUAAUAACAGUUCAAUCAUUAAAUGCAUGCUUCAGAAAACACCAAUCAGUUGUUCUGAAAGAGUGAACCUAUGGUUUCUCCGCUGCAGUCCUCACUCGUGAUUGAUAAGGUGGUCUGCACUAUCGUAUGGCUUUGAUUUGAACCUGCUGCUCCGAGCCUCUAAGGGAGGCCAUGGUGCAAUAGAAUUAGCCUGGUUUAGUUCAUUUUGCUCCAGAUCUGCCACUGCCUGGCCUGGUCUGGUUCAUCCUGGCCUGUAACCUCGUCUAAUCAGAUAGCCGUGUAAGGCCAGGUGCUUCGCUGGCUCUCUGCUUCGACUGCUCAGCCAGCCACGCUGAUUUGCAUUAUUCAGAGAUCAGAGACGGACUGGUGAGGGCCACUUACUGGUUAAAUGAAUUGGAGUGGGAUUGAGGAAAACCACAAAUUACACCACAAUAGUCCAGAUUCCCUGUCUACUAAAACUUAAUUAGAUGCUUCUUUCAAGGCUUACACAUAAGUUGAUGAAGCGGUUCAAAGCAAGAUGUUGAGAAGUCUUUAUUUUUGACAGAAAUGAGCAGAAUUAAAAAU
Gasterosteus aculeatus aculeatus (three-spined stickleback) is the source of this 635-nucleotide long non-coding RNA. NCBI's taxonomy places the organism in Eukaryota, Metazoa, Chordata, Actinopteri, Perciformes, Gasterosteidae. The record is from Ensembl.